Molecule: transfer RNA, 80 nt
Organism: Pisolithus microcarpus 441
Lineage: Eukaryota; Fungi; Basidiomycota; Agaricomycetes; Boletales; Pisolithaceae
Rfam family: tRNA
About the family: Transfer RNA (tRNA) molecules are approximately 80 nucleotides in length.
Source: Rfam
GGUCUUGUAGUGUAGCGGUUAUCACUCAGGAUUCUGAUUGCGGAUUUCCUGAAACCCAGGUUCGAAUCCUGGCAGGACCU